GUAUCCUACGGGGGGCAGCAGUGGGGAAUAUUGCACAAUGGGGGAAACCCUGAUGCAGCAACGCCGCGUGAAGGAAGACGGUUUUCGGAUUGUAAACUUCUGCUCUUAGUGAAGAAUAAUGACGGUAGCUAAGGAGCAAGCCACGGCUAACUGCGUGCCAGCAGCCGCGGUAAUACGUAGGUGGCAAGCGUUGUCCGGAAUUACUGGGUGUAAAGGGAGCGCAGGCGGGAAGCCAAGUCAGCUGUGAAAACUACGGGCUUAACUUGUAGACUGGAGGUGAAAAUGGUUUUCUUGAGUGAAGUAGG
This 305-nucleotide ribosomal RNA is filed under the name uncultured bacterium. Its description in RNAcentral is "bacterial SSU rRNA". It matches the Rfam family "Bacterial small subunit ribosomal RNA", at positions 334 to 655 of the family's 1533-position model. The record is from RNAcentral.